UACGUAGGGUGCAAGCGUUAAUCGGAAUUACUGGGCGUAAAGCGUGCGCAGGCGGCUUUGCAAGACAGAUGUGAAAUCCCCGGGCUCAACCUGGGAACUGCAUUUGUGACUGCAAGGCUAGAGUACGGUAGAGGGAGAUGGAAUUCCGCGUGUAGCAGUGAAAUGCGUAGAUAUGCGGAGGAACACCAAUGGCGAAGGCAAUCUCCUGGACCUGUACUGACGCUCAUGCACGAAAGCGUGGGGAGCAAACAGG
RNAcentral lists this ribosomal RNA (253 nucleotides) under uncultured bacterium. RNAcentral's name for it is "partial 16S ribosomal RNA". It matches the Rfam family "Bacterial small subunit ribosomal RNA", at positions 524 to 776 of the family's 1533-position model. The record is from RNAcentral.